This is a long non-coding RNA of Sinocyclocheilus anshuiensis, 279 nucleotides long. RefSeq lists it as uncharacterized. NCBI's taxonomy places the organism in Eukaryota, Metazoa, Chordata, Actinopteri, Cypriniformes, Cyprinidae. The transcript is spliced from 3 exons. The record is from RefSeq and is a predicted model, not a curated record.
AAGAGCCCAGCCAACAUGAUGCCCACCUGGAAUACAUCCGUCCACACCACUGCCUUCAGACCGCCCUGCCAGGUAGAGAGUGCAGACGACUCCGGUCGAAAUGACGGCACCCCAGAGAUCUAUACCUGUGACUGAGAAGUGGAGAGAAGUUCACUUGACCAGACAGCACUGUGCACUAUCAAGCAUACUUGUUACACCAUACACUCCACAAGUGCUGGUUAUUCCCAGUCUGUAGAAGAUCGGCAGGAAAAUCUCAGAGCUCACAGCCACCAUCAGAAC